This 76-nucleotide transfer RNA is filed under the name Rickettsiales bacterium. RNAcentral's name for it is "tRNA-Val". It matches the Rfam family "tRNA". From Rfam's summary of the family: Transfer RNA (tRNA) molecules are approximately 80 nucleotides in length. Their secondary structure includes four short double-helical elements and three loops (D, anti-codon, and T loops). Further hydrogen bonds mediate the characteristic L-shaped molecular structure. tRNAs have two regions of fundamental functional importance: the anti-codon, which is responsible for specific mRNA codon recognition, and the 3' end, to which the tRNAs corresponding amino acid is attached (by aminoacyl-tRNA synthetases). tRNAs cope with the degeneracy of the genetic code in two manners: having more than one tRNA (with a specific anti-codon) for a particular amino acid; and 'wobble' base-pairing, i.e. permitting non-standard base-pairing at the 3rd anti-codon position. Lineage: Bacteria; Pseudomonadati; Pseudomonadota; Alphaproteobacteria; Rickettsiales. The record is from RNAcentral.
GAGAAAUUGGCUCAACUGGUAGAGCGACCGUUUUACACACGGUAGGUUGAAUGUUCGAAUCCUUCAUUUCUUAUCA